This 67-nucleotide microRNA precursor is filed under the name Erinaceus europaeus (western European hedgehog). RNAcentral's name for it is "miRNA (ENSEEUG00000022013.1)". The record is from RNAcentral. Lineage: Eukaryota; Metazoa; Chordata; Mammalia; Eulipotyphla; Erinaceidae.
GGCUGGGCUGGGCUGGGCUGGGCUGGGCUGGCCACCUCAGCAUCGUGCUUGCUUGCUUGCUGUCUUC